GAUGAACGCUGGCGGCGUGCCUAACACAUGCAAGUCGAACGGAGUCCAGCCUUUAAGACCUUCGGGUCAAAGAGGGGAAGACUGAGUGGCGGACGGGUGAGUAACACGUGGGCAACCUGGCUCAUAGAGGGGGAUAACAGAGAGAAAUUUCUGCUAAUACCGCAUAAGCACACACUGCCGCAUGGCAGAGGGUGAAAAGAGAAUCGCUAUGAGAUGGACCCGCGUCUGAUUAGCCAGUUGGCAGGGUAAGAGCCUACCAAAGCGACGAUCAGUAGCCGAUCUGAGAGGAUGAACGGCCACAUUGGGACUGAGACACGGCCCAAACUCCUACGGGAGGCAGGAGUGGGGGAUAUUGCACAAUGGGGGGAACCCUGAUGCAGCGACGCCGGGUGAGUGAAGAAGUAUUUCGGUAUGUAAAGCUCUAUCAGCAGGGAAGAUAAUGACAGUACCUGAAGAAGAAGCCCCGGCUAACUACGUG
This 478-nucleotide ribosomal RNA is filed under the name uncultured bacterium. RNAcentral describes it as "partial 16S ribosomal RNA". It matches the Rfam family "Bacterial small subunit ribosomal RNA", at positions 28 to 507 of the family's 1533-position model. The record is from RNAcentral.